This 385-nucleotide ribosomal RNA is filed under the name uncultured bacterium. RNAcentral describes it as "partial 16S ribosomal RNA". The record is from RNAcentral.
UGUUACGACUUCACCCCAGUCAUGAAUCACACCGUGGUAAACGCCCUCCCGAAGGUUAAGCUAUCUACUUCUGGUGCAACCCACUCCCAUGGUGUGACGGGCGGUGUGUACAAGGCCCGGGAACGUAUUCACCGCAACAUUCUGAUUUGCGAUUACUAGCGAUUCCGACUUCACGGAGUCGAGUUGCAGACUCCGAUCCGGACUACGACGCGCUUUUUGGGAUUCGCUCACUAUCGCUAGCUUGCAGCCCUCUGUACGCGCCAUUGUAGCACGUGUGUAGCCCUGGCCGUAAGGGCCAUGAUGACUUGACGUCAUCCCCACCUUCCUCCGGUUUAUCACCGGCAGUCUCCCUUGAGUUCCCACCAUUACGUGCUGGCAACAAAGG